RNAcentral lists this long non-coding RNA (764 nucleotides) under Canis lupus familiaris (dog). RNAcentral describes it as "lncRNA (ENSCAFG00030024968.1)". The record is from RNAcentral. Lineage: Eukaryota; Metazoa; Chordata; Mammalia; Carnivora; Canidae.
AUGGUCCACAGGACAAGUCAAACGGAGUCUCCAAUAGUUCUGUCUUUAAAAGCAUUUCUGCCAAGAUUGAUAACCUCAGAACUGAGUCUGGGAAGCAAACAAUCCAACAUCCAGUGGGCAUUUAAGAAGCUUUUGGAACAAAUUGCCAGGUUCUAAAGAGAAAUACCAUCAAAGUCAAAGCAAGACCCUAGUCCUCACAGAGGUCCCUUGGGUAAGUAGCCAGUUUCCUACAAUUGGAAACAGUGAAACCAAAGGAGAAGUACAGUGAGUAAAGGAGUACUUGAGAGGGGCACCUGGGUGGCUUAGAUGGCUAAGCCUCUGCCUUGGCUCAGGUUAUGAUCUCAGGGUUCUGAGAUUGAGCCCCGAAUCUGGGUCCUUGCUCAGCGGGGAGUCCACUUCUCCCUCUGCCUCUCCCCACCUGCCUGUGCUCUCUCUCAUUCUCUAUGUCAAAUAAAUAAGACUAAAAAAAAUGUGCAAUUUCUACAGAAUUGUGUGGGCAGAUUAUAAUGGAAGGCCUACAGGGUAGAAAGUUUAAAAAUGAAUAAUGGAUUCUUUUGAUCUUCUAGCAGGUAAAAUCAGAAAGGUAAAAUCAGAAAACACAUUCUUUAUAACCUGAUUAUAAUUCAGUUCUUCAAAUUCUCAGUUUUAAACUUUACUAUACAAAUGAUAUUUUAAGUGAAUCUCUCAAUCCCACUCUUUUUAAAGAAUGACAGCCGAAAUGAUAAUAACCAAAUGGCAUUGGUGAAGCUGGUUUUAAAGCCUUA